CUCCAGCUGACGAGUCCCAAAUAGGACGAAGUGAGCGUCAAACUGGAU
Non-coding RNA from Schistosoma mansoni, 48 nucleotides. NCBI's taxonomy places the organism in Eukaryota, Metazoa, Platyhelminthes, Trematoda, Strigeidida, Schistosomatidae. The record is from Rfam.